Trifolium pratense (red clover) is the source of this 176-nucleotide long non-coding RNA. RefSeq lists it as uncharacterized. The record is from RefSeq and is a predicted model, not a curated record. NCBI's taxonomy places the organism in Eukaryota, Viridiplantae, Streptophyta, Magnoliopsida, Fabales, Fabaceae. The transcript is spliced from 2 exons.
AUUUUUCUUUUCUUGUUAUUAGUUCAAUAUUUUUUGUUUUCUUUUUUUACAAAUUCGAACAAUAGGUUAAUUUAAUAAUUUAAUUUGUAAUGAUUUUGUUGAAGAAACAAACAAGUUUUUAGUAAUGGAUGUCAAUGUUUUUGAAGAGAUUCCAUGUAAUAUGCAAGUAGAAGUGG